This 427-nucleotide ribosomal RNA is filed under the name uncultured bacterium. Its description in RNAcentral is "bacterial SSU rRNA". It matches the Rfam family "Bacterial small subunit ribosomal RNA", at positions 222 to 665 of the family's 1533-position model. The record is from RNAcentral.
ACGUUUUGCGGGGGAAAGAUUAGGUAAAUAUAGGAUUUCAUUAUUAUAUGUUUUUAUAUGCCUAUAAUCUUUUAGUUGAUUUUGAGAGAAGAAUCAGCCACACGGGGUAUGAAAACUAUCCCGCCUUAUGGCAGCAGUGAAGAAUAUUAGGCAAUGUACGAAAGUAUGACCUAUCCAUUUGACGGAGAUGAUUAAGACUAUAGCAGUUGUAAAGUUUGACCAAGUACGAGAAUUAUGAUGGUAAGUACAGAAAGAAGUUGUGGCAAAUACAGGUGCCAGCAGCCGCGGUAAUACCUGAGCAACAAGCGUUAUUCAGCGUGAUUGGGUGUAAAGGGUGUGUAGGUGAAGUCAUCGAUAUAUAAUACUAGAUACAUAAGUUGGACUUAUAUAUAUGUGAAUACUUUUGAGAUUGAUUGUAGGUAAAAAA